CGCCUGUUUAUCAAAAACAUGUCUAUUUGAAAUUAUAUAUAGUCUAGCCUGCUCACUGACAAAGAUGUUAAAUAGCCGCGGUAUUUUGACCGUGCAAAGGUAGCAUAAUCAUUAGUUUUUUAAUUGGAAACUUGUAUGAAUGGUUGGACAAAGAAAAAGCUGUCUCUUUUAUUAAAAUUGAAAUUAACUUCUAAGUGAAAAGGCUUAGAUUUUCUAGAGGGACGAUAAGACCCUAUAAAGCUUUAUAAAUUAAGUAAGUUAGAACAAAUUUUAUAGAAUAAAGGUAAAUUUAAUAUAUUUAUUUGGUUGGGGCGACAAUGGUAUAAAUUAAAUAACUGCUAUUAAAAUUAAACAAUUAUAUUUGAUUAAAAUUAUAAUUGAUCCUUAUUAUGGAUUAAAAGAUCAAGUUACUUUAGGGAUAACAGCGUAAUUUCUUUUAAGAGUUCUUAUCAAAGAAGAAGUUUGCGACCUCGAUGUUGAAUUAAAAUGUCUUUAUAGUGCAGAAGCUAUAAAAGAAGGUCUGUUCGACCUUUAAUUUUUUACGUGAUCUGAGUUCAGACCGG
RNAcentral lists this ribosomal RNA (563 nucleotides) under Scylla tranquebarica (purple mud crab). RNAcentral describes it as "partial 16S ribosomal RNA". It matches the Rfam family "Bacterial large subunit ribosomal RNA", at positions 1797 to 2619 of the family's 2925-position model. Lineage: Eukaryota; Metazoa; Arthropoda; Malacostraca; Decapoda; Portunidae. The record is from RNAcentral.